ACUUACUCCAGAGACUCACUAACUUGCACAGCAUUGAAUGGAAAAGGCUUUGUCCAUGUCCAGUUGAGGGGCAUCAAGAACACGCAGAUAGCCUACCUGGACAGACUGCAGUUCUGCUACUCCAUGCCAAGGCUUUUGUAUGGAUGUCUUGACUACUACUGUGUUCUCUAAAGGUUUUCUGGAAGCUCCAUUUGAGGGCAUCAAGGACAUACUGAUGGCCUAAACCAGUGUCAGCCUAGACAGACAGACAUCUAUUGCAGUUCUGCUACACAAGACCAAACUCUCUGCUUUUGUAUGGAUGUCUGACUAGUACGGUGUUCUCUAAAGGUAUAACCGGAGCAAAACAAUAGCAUCCGUUACAGUGAAAUUUGUGUUCAUAAAAGAUAGUGAUAUGUGUAACAGGUCCAGUACAUUUGUCAUAAAGGUUAUAUCACAGUAAGUACUGUAAAAA
This is a non-coding RNA of Danio rerio (zebrafish), 451 nucleotides long. NCBI's taxonomy places the organism in Eukaryota, Metazoa, Chordata, Actinopteri, Cypriniformes, Danionidae. The record is from RefSeq and is a predicted model, not a curated record.